CCCACCCUCCUCCUCUAUCCCUGACAAUCUCUAUCAUCGAAUCCGUCAUUAUCAUUCGCUACCACCUAUCUAGUUAGCCAAUAUUUUUCCACCUCAUACCCCUUUUCCAUCUCAUCGACGUCGCUCUGCGCCUUCUAACCUCUUCGCUUUGCCCCUACCCCCUAUCCUGCCCAUUGCUAACCUCCCUCUAAGGCAUGAAACUCCUCUGGCUUCCACCUCUCCCAACCCCUCUUUCACCUUAACUCUAACACCCAAACCUACAUGGAUGUUAGGCCAACACCAUCACACCGAAGUAACUCGUCGGAGCUAAAGGAGAAGAAGGUUGGGCAGGAUGCGAUGAUCCAAAAUCCGUAAUUUUCAGGGCAACAUAUUGGCUCCGGUGUUGCGCUCAGUUACAAAGGUGUGAUGAAGAUGACGAGUUUAUGAAGUUUGCAUGCCGUAGGCUUGAGACGACAGUUAUGCAACUUUUUGUCAAUUAUGGUUGGAGAUUUCAAAUAGACUUUAAUAACGUGUUCUCCUUAUCUUAGAUGGGUUAUUUUUUAUUUUAAGUGCGUGUUCUCAAUGUUUUGUUGAACUACACUCUGAGUACAACUUUGUAAUAAUUGGCUGUAACUCGUUUUGAGCAAAAACCGGGAUAUUCUAUUCCAUUAGAUGUGAACUUGAGAA
Oryza sativa Japonica Group (Japanese rice) is the source of this 666-nucleotide non-coding RNA. NCBI's taxonomy places the organism in Eukaryota, Viridiplantae, Streptophyta, Magnoliopsida, Poales, Poaceae. The record is from RefSeq and is a predicted model, not a curated record.